RNAcentral lists this ribosomal RNA (274 nucleotides) under uncultured bacterium. RNAcentral describes it as "partial 16S ribosomal RNA". It matches the Rfam family "Bacterial small subunit ribosomal RNA", at positions 523 to 796 of the family's 1533-position model. The record is from RNAcentral.
AUACGGAGGGUCCAAGCGUUAUCCGGAUUCAUUGGGUUUAAAGGGUCCGCAGGCGGGAAAAUAAGUCAGUGGUGAAAGCCUACAGCUCAACUGUAGAACUGCCAUUGAUACUGUUUUUCUUGAGUAUAGAUGAAGUGGGCGGAAUACAUCAUGUAGCGGUGAAAUGCAUAGAUAUGAUAUAGAACACCGAUUGCGAAGGCAGCUCACUAAACUAUUACUGACGCUCAGGGACGAAAGCGUGGGGAGCGAACAGGAUUAGAUACCCUAGUAGUCC